UCUGGGCCGAAAGGUCUCAUCAUCUUUUAACUUUGAGAAACACUGUGUUAAACAAAAGCAAAGUUUUGGUCCAUAGAAUUUCUCAGAAUCUUUAGUGUACUACUGUGCGUAACAAAUCUCUAAAAGUAUCAUGGAUUUCCCAAAUUUUUGAAACCACGGAAUCCUCCCUUCAAGCAACAGAUUUUGGAACUAAGUUUCCGAAGAACACAGUUUGGAAAACACCGUGCUGAGCGUUUUUACGCAUACUGAAGGCAUCCUGUACGCCUGUAAGCGCCGCCUGCAGCGGAAAUGUAAGUUGGAGCCAAAGGCGAUGUUUCGACGUUAAAAUGCCCUGACACGGAAACAAAGGAGGGGAUAUUUACUGAUAAAGCUCCAGUAUAGCUCUUCACAGUCUCACUUUCUAACUUCCAUUGGUAAAGUUAAUUAGGUACGGUGGAGUGUGAUUUUAACUAAAACGCUGCCUUCAAUCUCAGAGGCCUUUCUGGGGAUUUACAUUUCCACAUUCCUUUUUACUCCUUACAGCUAGUUUAUAUUUUACUCCUGGCCAGAUUGCCUAUGUCUGACUCUCCCUUCUUAUCCCUAUCUGCACUGACAUUUGCCUGUUACCUUUCUGUAGGUCAGUUAAAGAUGUGCAACAGGUUUGCAACGCGCUCAGAUGGGCGCUCCUGAGAGCGGCCGUCUCCCUGCUCAGCAGGAUUUUAGCCAACCCACACAGCCUUGGGCCUAGCUCAUGACCGUCGGCAGGUAUCACCUCCAGGAACCACUGCCGCCUUUGCUGCCUUUCCCUCACGAAGGGUAAAUCCAAGAAGACCUCGAGGACAUUACGAGAAUCCUAAUCUAGGGGAGUCUAUUAUAGACAUUAAAUGAGAGUUUAUUCUGGGGACCAAUUAUUCAACAUCCGGAGGCUCUCCAGAGCACAUGUAAAAGAGACACUUCAACAGGUGUUGUUUAUGACUUCGCACCACAAUAGGAUGGUACUUGGAAACAAAGUACUACCCAAACUCUCUCCAGCAAUCAUUCCUAUUACGUAAGUGUCAUCUGGGUGUUAAUUAAAUGGGUUUUGCUUUGCUGGAUCUGUGAAAUCACU
Molecule: long non-coding RNA, 1087 nt
Filed under: Ursus maritimus (polar bear)
Lineage: Eukaryota; Metazoa; Chordata; Mammalia; Carnivora; Ursidae
Description: lncRNA (ENSUMAG00000005642.1)
Source: RNAcentral